Molecule: ribosomal RNA, 645 nt
Filed under: uncultured Nocardioides sp.
Lineage: Bacteria; Bacillati; Actinomycetota; Actinomycetes; Propionibacteriales; Nocardioidaceae
Description: bacterial SSU rRNA
Rfam family: Bacterial small subunit ribosomal RNA
Source: RNAcentral
UUCGCGGCCUAUCAGCUUGUUGGUGGGGUAAUGGCCUACCAAGGCGACGACGGGUAGCCGGCCUGAGAGGGUGACCGGCCACACUGGGACUGAGACACGGCCCAGACUCCUACGGGAGGCAGCAGUGGGGAAUAUUGGACAAUGGGCGAAAGCCUGAUCCAGCAACGCCGCGUGAGGGAUGACGGCCUUCGGGUUGUAAACCUCUUUCAGUAGGGACGAAGCUAACGUGACGGUACCUACAGAAGAAGCACCGGCCAACUACGUGCCAGCAGCCGCGGUAAUACGUAGGGUGCGAGCGUUGUCCGGAAUUAUUGGGCGUAAAGGGCUCGUAGGCGGUUUGUCACGUCGGGAGUGAAAACUCGGGGCUUAACUCCGAGCCUGCUUCCGAUACGGGCUGACUAGAGGUAUGCAGGGGAGAACGGAAUUCCUGGUGUAGCGGUGAAAUGCGCAGAUAUCAGGAGGAACACCGGUGGCGAAGGCGGUUCUCUGGGCAUUACCUGACGCCGAGGAGCGAAGGUGUGGGGAGCGAACAGGAUUAGAUACCCUGGUAGUCCACACCGUAAACGUUGGGCGCUAGGUGUGGGACUCAUCCCACGAGUUCCGUGCCGCAGCUAACGCAUUAAGCGCCCCGCCUGGGGAGUACGG